Molecule: microRNA precursor, 201 nt
Filed under: Oryza brachyantha (malo sina)
Lineage: Eukaryota; Viridiplantae; Streptophyta; Magnoliopsida; Poales; Poaceae
Description: MIR812 microRNA precursor family
Rfam family: MIR812 microRNA precursor family
Source: Rfam by way of RNAcentral
AAUAAACCAAUUUUUCACUUUUUACCUAUAAUGUUUGACUCUUCGUCUUAUUCAAAAAUUUUUUGCGAUUAACAAUUUUGUUUUUAUUAGAUAAUAAAUCAUGAAUAAUGUUUUAUAUGUGACUAACUUUUUUUAAUUUCUUGAAAAUUUUUCAAAUAAGAUGGAUGGUGCGGGACACAGAAACCAAAAAUUUGGUUUAUU